CGCUGGCGGCGUGCUUAACACAUGCAAGUCGAGCGGGCAAUUUAUCUAGCACUGAUUACUUCAAAUGGCUAUCGCCAGUGUAAUCAUGAAUUUCUACCUUAUAAUAAANAAAAAAGAAUUUCAUGUACGCAAAUAGUGAUAACACNUUUUAGUGGAGUGAUGAGUGCUGGAUAANUUGCUAGCGGCGGACGGGUGCGUAACACGUGGGUAACCUGCCCCUAUCACUGGGAUAACACACUGAAAAGUGUGCUAAUACCANAUAACAUAAGCUUUUGGCAUCAUUAGCUUAUCAAANAAUUUCGNGAUAGGGAUGGGCCCGCGUCUGAUUAGCUAGUUGGUGAGGUAACGGCUCACCAAGGCAACGAUCAGUAGCCGACCUGAGAGGGUGAUCGGCCACACUGGAACUGAGACACGGUCCAGACUCCUACGGGAGGCAGCAGUGGGGAAUAUUGCACAAUGGGCGAAAGCCUGAUGCAGCAACGCCGCGUGAGCNAUGAAGGCCUUCGGGUCGUAAAGCUCUGUCCUAUGGGAAGAUAAUGACGGUACCAUAGGAGGAAGCCCCGGGCUAACUACGUGCCAGCAGCCGCGGUANUACGUAGGGGGGCAAGCGUUAUCCGGAAUUACUGGGGCGUAAAGGGUG
This 640-nucleotide ribosomal RNA is filed under the name uncultured bacterium. RNAcentral's name for it is "bacterial SSU rRNA". It matches the Rfam family "Bacterial small subunit ribosomal RNA", at positions 34 to 569 of the family's 1533-position model. The record is from RNAcentral.